AAAAAGCGCCGAAAAUCAGUGAUAAAAACCCAAACUGUGGCACAAAACCACACAAAUUUGGGGUGAAAAUGGCGGCACCCAAAAAUCUGGGGGGUUCUGAUGCUCUGAAUCCCUUGGAGGUUCCUAAAAAACUCCCACCCCAAAUUUGGCCUAAAAACUCCAAAAUAAUUCUAAGAUCCAACAGGAAAUGCCCAAAUUUGGGUGAAAAACCCCAAAACAUGAUGGAAAAACCCCAAAUGUAGGUGGGAAACCCAAAAUCUGAUGGGAAACCCCAAAAAUAGGGCACAAAACCCUGAAAAAACCCAAAGCCUGACAGGAAAUGCCCAAGUUUUGGUGGGAAACCUCAAAAUCUGUUGGGAAACUGCAAAAUUUGGGCACAAACCCAAAAACAACCUAAAAUCUGAGAGAAAACUUUCUAAUUUUGGCAUCAACCCUAAAAAAACUCAACAACUUGACAGGAAACACCUAAAUAGAGGUGAGAAACCCCAAAUUUGGACACAAAGCCCCGAAACAACCAAAAAAUCUAAUGAGAAAUACCCAAAUUUCGGCAAAACUCCAAAAAAAACUGGCUGGAAACUCCCAAAUUCUGUCGCUAACCCCAAAACGUAACAGAAAAAUCCCAAUAUUUUUCUGUUUUUCCCCAAAACCUGUUGGUAAAUUUGAGCACAGGGGAACUCAAACUCCCCAAAAAUCCCAUCAUGCCCUGAAACUCCCAAAACUGGGUUUUUUUCCCCAAAAUCCCCUCACCUCCACCAGUUUCUUGCUGUUUUUCUUGGGAGGGUUGGGCGCCCGUUGGGCCCCGUUGGGCCCCAGCCGAUGCUUCUGGAAGGUCAAUUUGAGCCCUUCCUCCUGUGGGGAAAGCGUGAGGGGAAAGGGUCACAAAAUGGAGGAAAAGGCGGGAAAAUCGUGAGGAAAAAGGUGGGAAAACUGUGAGGGAAAAGGAAAGAAAAUUGUGAGGGAAAAGGCGGGAAAAUUGUGAGGAGAUGGGGUCAGAAAAUGGAGGAAAAGGUGGAAAAUUGUGAGGGAAAAGGU
RNAcentral lists this long non-coding RNA (1032 nucleotides) under Zonotrichia albicollis (white-throated sparrow). RNAcentral's name for it is "lncRNA (ENSZALG00000004582.1)". Lineage: Eukaryota; Metazoa; Chordata; Aves; Passeriformes; Passerellidae. The record is from RNAcentral.